UACAGAGGGUGCAAGCGUUAAUCGGAAUUACUGGGCGUAAAGCGCGCGUAGGCGGCUGAUUAAGUCGGAUGUGAAAUCCCCGGGCUCAACCUGGGAACUGCAUUCGAUACUGAUCGGCUAGAGUAUGGGAGAGGGAAGCGGAAUUUCUGGUGUAGCAGUGAAAUGCGUAGAGAUCGGGAAGAACACCGGUGGCGAGGGCGGCCCACUGGGCCAGUUCUGACGCUGAGGCGCGAAAGCGUGGAGAGCAAACAGG
This 253-nucleotide ribosomal RNA is filed under the name uncultured bacterium. RNAcentral describes it as "partial 16S ribosomal RNA". It matches the Rfam family "Bacterial small subunit ribosomal RNA", at positions 524 to 776 of the family's 1533-position model. The record is from RNAcentral.